UACGUAGGGGGCAAGCGUUGUCCGGAUUUACUGGGCGUAAAGAGCGUGUAGGCGGCCAAGCAGGUCCGUUGUGAAAACUGGAGGCUUAACCUCCAGACGUCGACGGAAACCGCGUGGCUAGAGUCCGGAAGAGGAGAGUGGAAUUCCAGGUGUAGCGGUGAAAUGCGUAGAUAUCUGGAGGAACACCGGUGGCGAAGGCGGCAUCCUGGACCAACACUGACACUGAGGAGCGAAGGCCAGGGGAGCAAACGGG
Molecule: ribosomal RNA, 253 nt
Filed under: uncultured bacterium
Lineage: Bacteria
Description: partial 16S ribosomal RNA
Rfam family: Bacterial small subunit ribosomal RNA
Source: RNAcentral